This 2442-nucleotide unclassified non-coding RNA is filed under the name Rhagoletis pomonella (apple maggot). RNAcentral's name for it is "dynein regulatory complex subunit 6, transcript variant X2". Lineage: Eukaryota; Metazoa; Arthropoda; Insecta; Diptera; Tephritidae. The record is from RNAcentral.
AGAGUUAAUUCAACAUGACAACACAUUCUGAAGCAUUUUGUUGAUCAUUUUACCUAAAUUGUGCGUUUAAAGUGGCUGACAAUAAUUUUGGUUUUCGUUGUUUUCUUUGCUUUGUUUACUUUUCGCUCGUUUUCCAGUGAAACAAGAUGGCGUAGAACCCGCAAAAAAUCGACUUUUUUCACUCUCUUGUUCUUACGUGAUCUUGUGUCUUUCGUUCAUGCAAUAUUUCUAUAAAUUAAGUACUAAAGAUUUUGAUCAGUACACUGCACUAAUAACAGCGCUUUUCUGUUCAUAAAAUGGGAACAAUCCAAAACAAUGAUAAAGAGUAUAGCAGCUCGACACUUAGUUAUGGUGAAUUACCUAUGGAGAUAAUUCUUCAUAUUUUUCGAUAUUUGAGUGCUGCAGACAUGCAAAUAGCAGGUAGAACAUGCCAACGAUGGCGUGAAGCAACAUUUAAUACGGAGUUCACUAAACGAGUUUUAGUUCGAUUUUCUAAAUUAUGUCUAUCAGACAUGCUUACGCCGGCAAAGGACUACGCUAAAAGUGAAAUGCCUUUUCGGAACUUCUGCUUUGAGGAAAUCUCGUUCGGACCAGUGCAACAGGCUAUGAGCCACAUUGGGAGUACGGCUAAGGAAAUAAUAUUUGACAAUGUAGAUAUUGGAGUCAAACAGUUCUGCGAAAUCAUGAGGCUAUUACCAAAUAUAACUUCGUUAAAAAUAACGCACUGUUCACAGCUUUUUAUGUCAGGUUCAUUUUUAGAAAAUGAACCGGGCUUAAGCUUUGCAAAUAUACAUCACCUUUCCCUGAGCGAUAAUCAGUAUAUAUCGGAUGCAAUUUUAAUGCGUUUGACUGAAAUGAUGGAGAGCAUAUACUCUUUAGAUUUGUCCGGUUGCCACAUAGCUUAUCACAACGCGAUUCAACGGCGAUUUUAUCCAAAUGAAGGUGAUAUAUUACCAUGCGAAUCUAUAUUGACCUUUAAGUUCAUUAUUCGCAUAUUAGCAUUGCAUCACGAGCAUAUACGUUGCCUUAACUUUAGUAAUACAUUGAUCGGCGCCCCAGCUCUAUCUGCUCUAUGUGAGCUGGAAAGGGGAGAACUCCAUUUGCAUCGUCUUGGACUAGCGAAAUGUAGGCAAUUAAAUGCAAUAUCUCUCAAUUUACUUUUAACUUCGCAAACAAAUUUAUUGGUACUGGAUCUAUCGGACACAAUCUGCGUGAACGAUAGUUGUCUUGAUGUAAUUGUGAAAAGUGUCUCUUCGCUACAAGAGCUUAAUAUUGCUGGUUGUGUUAAUAUUUCAAAUGAAGGAGCGUCUCUUUUAAACAAAUUAAAGAACUUGAAGCAUUUGAAUGUAUCACGUUGUGAUGGUAUACAAUCGGACGGUCUUACAAAUGGAGUGGCAGCUACACUUAAUGUAACAUUGCUGAUUCUUCAUAUGAGUCAUAUACAGGUAUGCGAGGAGGCCAUCAAGGUUCUAGCUAAAAACCUUCCGGAGCUGCGAGUUCUAAACUUAGGGUACUGCGUGAAUGGAGUAACCGAUGAAUCAGUACAGAGUAUCAUUCAAAAUUUACGAUGGCUACGGGAAUUGUCUUUGGAAAGCUGCUUUAGGAUCACGGAUGCAGCUUUUACUGGUAUUAAUAUUACACAGUUAGUUCGUGCGCCCAACUUACGCAACUCGCUUGAUGGGAUUCAGUCGUAUUCAAAUCUGGAAAAUCGUGAUUGCUUAAAUAAAUCCAAUCAAUUGUUUAAGAUCUCAUUGCGAAGCAAAGCGGAAGAGGAAAUUGUUCGUGACGCCAAUAGAAAAAAAGCGAUGUUCGAAGCUUAUGAGCUAAACUUGAUUGAAGAAUGUAGUACCGAUGGCUAUAAUUUAAAGCAUUUAAAAGGUCUCAAAUCUUUAAACUUGAGUAGCUGCAAUAAAAUAUCAGAUGUGUCUUUAAAAUAUGGCAUACAAUUUCUUGAGUUGCGCCAUUUAUCGCUUUCUAAUUGCCAACAAAUUUCGCUUAUUGGCGUUCAACAAAUGGUGAAGGAUUGUCCUUCCAUAGAAAUUCUUGAUUUGUCGGACUGCGAAAGUAUUAAUGAUAAAGCUAUACAAAUAAUAACAAAAGCACUGACCAGACUCCGGAUUCUACACAUAAGUGGAUGCAGCCAGUUAACUGAUCACAGUUUGGACGCUAUCUUAGUGAAUUGCAAAAAUUUACAGGUUGAGCUAUUAAUCCCCAAAAAAGCGGCGAUUUAUUCAAGAGAAUUCCGGGUUUUCAGAACAGUGCCUUUUAAGUUUUAGAGCUGUUAGAGUUGGUUAUUGAAGCAGUGUCUAAUCAGCGGCGCUACCAACAGCGGUGUUAUAAGCAAGUUCCAGAUUAUUGGAGCAGUAACCUAUAGGAGAACACUUCCUCCUUUCCAGAAAGGAAUUUUGAUGAGCAAAAAUCUCUACGGUCGUUGUUCCAUUG